GAGGGCACUUUGCGGGGGCCCACUCCUAGAGGAAGCUGGCUGUGUCUCCUAGGCCCCAGAUGACCUUGGUCUCCACUGAAGAGUUCCCAGGGCCGUGGUAUGUGUAGGGGAGGGAAGGCCAGGGUCCCAGGCCUUGGAUUCAGAUGCUGCAAGGAGGGGCCUGCUGUCUGAUGGUGAGGGUCUGCUGACCGCGAAGGCGUUGGCUUUGCAUCUGAGUUAGUGUGGGAAGAGCCUCUUUACCCAAAGCCAGGCCAAGAAGUACACAUGUCGGAAAAAGAGCCUCCAAAUCCUGUACCCGAUUUGAUGGAAACCACCGACCAGACCCCAAAAAGCACAUGAACACUUUGGGGUUCUCAGACACUCUCCUCCCAAAUCCUCAGACUCUGGGGUGCUGUGUAAGCAUCUCAGGGCUCAUGGAUCACUCCCACAAAUUCUCAGACUCUGGGUGCCAGGGAGCUACCAGGGUGACACCCUGUGCGCCCCCCAAUGCUGAGUUCCCGAGCCUGCGCCCUGGGGCCUCCUCCUCCUCCUCUGGCCAUUAGGUCCCCUCCAUCUUUUCUAGGUGAGCUACCUGCACCUCUCCCUCCCCCCUGGGCUGGGGCUACACCUGGCAGGGAGAGGCCCGCCAUCUAUGAACUUUGCUGAAUAGCAGAAGGUGGGCAGCGGUCUGACUGUGUGCAUCACCUGAGCCACGCCCGGAUCUCAGGUAAACAGCAGAGGGGGCCAAGAAGGGGGGGCUGUGCGAAUCUUGGGCCUCAAGGGCUGCCUCUCGCCACCUGCUGCAGCUGGAUCUCAGGCCCUUCCUGUGGCCUGAACAGAAGCAUGUUCCAGGGUGUCCCCACACUCUGCCCUGCCAUCGUGCCCCUGUGGCCUCAGUGAGGCAUCUUGGGGGCAGGGCUUCCUCCGUAGCACGUGGCUUGUCCGUGGUUCUUGACCCAUUGGAAAUAAAGGGGCAAACUGGAGUUUGACGUGGUGCUCCCUGUCCCAGUGAGACAGGAAUACGAUACAGACCCGUGUGAGUGCAGAGACCUCUUGGGGUGAUGGACAAUGGCCAGGAGAAACAGGGUCUGUUGAAACUGGGACCAGCAGGCAGAUGCCUGCACUGGCAGCCAGCGGGGUGGACGAGAACCGCCAGAGGUGCUGAGUGCAAACCGGGGGGGACAAGGAGGCCUUGGAGGCUGUCCCCUCCUCCAGGGGCCAGCCCUGACAGCCAUUCCCAACCAGUGUGGCCCCCCUGGGGUCCUGCCUCACUGCCCCUUGGACACUAGGAAGCCCCGCUUCUGCUUUCCGGCUGCUGGAGGUGCUGUCCGCGUGGUGAGCUCCGAGGAGCGCCUGCGUCGCCCGGAGAGCCUGCUGACGGCAUCCAGGACGGAACCCUGUGUGUCCAGCCCUGCCUGGAGGGGGGGGUCCCCUCUACCCUGGGUGCGGUGGGGAGCUCCCCCUGACACCCAGGUUAGAGGGUCGGUCCCCUAGUGAAACCCCGCUGUCACCGGAGAGACUCCUGGGUGGGGCCAGGGGCUCUUCACAGAACUGGGCCCAUUGCUAGGUGCCUGCUGAGCCUGUGGCCAGUUGAUGGGAGUCUAGGACCCUCCUACUGAGUGGUGGAUAGCUGUCACAGCCUGUGCCCCAAAGGCAAGUGUGCCCAGGAGGUCUGGGCCUUCGGCCACCUUGUUGGAAACAAGUCACGGAGUCCACGUUCUGCCAUGGAGGCUGCUCGAGCCUGGGUUUCUGCAGUGGGUUCUAGGUCUUGGACACGUCCCCCAAGGCAUGCUGUAUGACAGUCAGAUGAGCUGACUGGGGCCAUCGCUGGCUGUGCCAGUCUCUCUUUGAGAUGUGUAACAGGUAGAGAAGGGUCUUGUCAUGAUGAUGGGCAGGUCUACUUUCCAGGGGAGGAGGUCGAGGCAGCGGUAAUAUUGAGAAGCCCCCCAGGCCCUGGCAAUACUCAGAGCUCCCGAGCCAUGCCCAGCACUGACCAUUCUGCCACACUCCCUCAGGCCACCUCUGGCCAGGAGGAGGAGUGGCUCCCCUACCAGUGUUGUGCAGUGAGAGCCCCGACCACCGUCCUUUCCCUGGGGUCACUUCAUGAUCUUGUAUACGCAAAAUACCCAGUCUACUUUUGUCAGAAUGCUUCUCUGAACUGUUUUAUUCUGGUGAAUCUGAGCACGGUACCCAGGAUGCCCACAGGACCAACUUACACGUCUCCUGUGAAAACGCUUCUUGCCGCUCAC
RNAcentral lists this long non-coding RNA (2228 nucleotides) under Marmota monax (woodchuck). The record is from RNAcentral. Lineage: Eukaryota; Metazoa; Chordata; Mammalia; Rodentia; Sciuridae.